This 429-nucleotide ribosomal RNA is filed under the name uncultured anaerobic ammonium-oxidizing bacterium. Its description in RNAcentral is "bacterial SSU rRNA". It matches the Rfam family "Bacterial small subunit ribosomal RNA", at positions 383 to 810 of the family's 1533-position model. The record is from RNAcentral.
GUGAACGAGCGACGCCGCGUGGAGGAUGAAGGCCUUCGGGUUGUAAACUCCUGUCGAGGGGGAACAAGGGGGCGCGAAGAGCGUCACUUGAGUGAACCCUGGAGGAAGCACGGGCUAAGUUCGUGCCAGCAGCCGCGGUAAGACGAACCGUGCGAACGUUAUUCGGAUUCACUGGGCUUAAAGCGCGUGUAGGCGGGCCGGCACGUCGGAUGCUGAAAGCCCCCGGCUCAACCGGGGAACGGGCACCGAUACGACCGGCCUGGAGGGGGGUAGGGGGAGCCGGAACUUCCGGUGGAGCGGUGAAAUGCGUUGAGAUCGGAAGGAACGCCCGUGGCGAAAGCGGGCUCCUGGACCCCACCUGACGCUGAGACGCGAAAGCCAGGGGAGCAAACGGGAUUAGAUACCCCGGUAGUCCUGGCCGUAAACCAU